GAUGAACGUUGGCGGUAUGCCUAAUACAUGCAAGUCGAACGAGAAACCCAUCUUCGGACGGGGAGUAAAGUGGCGAACGGGUGAGUAACGCGUUGGUGAUCUGCCCCGAAGUGAGGGACAACAUUCCGAAAGGAAUGCUAAUACCUCAUGUGGUCCUGAGGGUUAAAGGCCUCAGGUCUAAAGAUUUAUCGCUUCGGGAGGAGCCUGCGUCCCAUCAGCUAGUUGGUAGGGUAAUGGCCUACCAAGGCAACGACGGGUAGGGGGCCUGAGAGGGCGGCCCCCCACAAUGGUACUGAAACACGGACCAUACACCUACGGGUGGCAGCAGUAGGGAAUCUUGCGCAAUGGACGAAAGUCUGACGCAGCAAUACCGCGUGCACGAUGAAGGUCUUCGGAUCGUAAAGUGCUUUUCCAUGGGAAGAGAAAGGACUGUACCAUGGGAAUAAGGAUCGGCUAACUACGUGCCAGCAGCCGCGGUAACACGUAGGAUCCAAACGUUAUCCGGAUUUACUGGGCGUAAAGCGCGUGCAGGUGGUUUGGUAAGUUGGGUGUCAAAGCUCCGGGCUUAACCCGGAGAGGUCGCUCAAAACUA
Molecule: ribosomal RNA, 592 nt
Filed under: uncultured bacterium
Lineage: Bacteria
Description: bacterial SSU rRNA
Rfam family: Bacterial small subunit ribosomal RNA
Source: RNAcentral